AUUCAAUCCAAACAAGCAUCUACUUCGUCCGGUUCAAACACCACAGACCCAAACCAGUCAACAUGUCUCCCUGCAACUGCAACUGCUGCUCCGGCGACUGCAACUCUUGCUCCUGCAGCAGCUGCACCGUAUGUCACC
Molecule: small RNA, 138 nt
Filed under: Aspergillus versicolor CBS 583.65
Lineage: Eukaryota; Fungi; Ascomycota; Eurotiomycetes; Eurotiales; Aspergillaceae
Description: A. fumigatus sRNA Afu_254
Rfam family: A. fumigatus sRNA Afu_254
Source: Rfam by way of RNAcentral